RNAcentral lists this ribosomal RNA (521 nucleotides) under uncultured bacterium. RNAcentral describes it as "partial 16S ribosomal RNA". It matches the Rfam family "Bacterial small subunit ribosomal RNA", at positions 899 to 1397 of the family's 1533-position model. The record is from RNAcentral.
ACUCAAAGGAAUUGACGGGGGCUCACACAAGCGGUGGAGCAUGUGGCUUAAUUCGAGGCUACGCGAAGAACCUUAUCCUGGGCUUGACAUGUGCGAAAGCGCUAGGGAGUAGGGAGCGGAAACGUUUCCCCAACGGUAUCCAGUCCGGAACCUAGUACAGGUGCUGCAUGGCUGUCGUCAGCUCGUGUCGUGAGAUGUCGGGUUAAGUCCCAUAACGAGCGAAACCCUUGUCUCCAGUUGCCAGCGGGUCAUGCCGGGGACUCUGGAGAGACUGCCGGUGUCAAACCGGAGGAAGGCGGGGAUGACGUCAAGUCCUCAUGGCCUUUAUGCCCAGGGCUGCACACGUGCUACAAUGGCGUGAACAGAGGGACGCGAGAGCGCAAGCUGGAGCUAAUCCCCUAAAACACGCCCCAGUUCAGAUCGCAGGCUGCAACUCGCCUGCGUGAAGUUGGAAUCGCUAGUAAUCGCGGGUCAGCAACACCGCGGUGAAUGUGUUCCUGAGCCUUGCACACACCGCCCGU